This 501-nucleotide ribosomal RNA is filed under the name Triticum aestivum (bread wheat). Its description in RNAcentral is "partial small subunit ribosomal RNA". The record is from RNAcentral. Lineage: Eukaryota; Viridiplantae; Streptophyta; Magnoliopsida; Poales; Poaceae.
AUGGCGGCUGAAUCAAGUUCACAGGGACGGCAGGGGAAGGAGACGACGGAGGAGCUGCUUGCCAGGCUGAAUCCGCAGGAGGAGGAAGACGACGGUUUUGUGUGGGAGGAGGAAUUGCCGGACUUGGAGGCGCCGGCAAAGUGGCUGGCUAUAGCCAGAGUUCACACUUCCAAGACCUUUAGCCCUAAUGCUCUGUAUGGGGACAUGCGUGCCGCAUGGAACCCAGCAAAACCGGUGGUGUGGAGGAAGAUCAAGGACAAUCUGUUCAUAGCUCAGUUUGGAUGUCUAGGGGACUGGAACAAGGCCAUGGUUGAGGGUCCCUGGCUGUUUAGAGAUCAGGCGGUUAUUAUGGUGGAAUAUGAUGGCUUUAGAAAUCCUGAUAGUAUCAUCCUGGACAAGCUGGCAGUAUGGGCGCAGAUCCAUAGGCUGCCUGACAAUUUUCUUAUCGAACCAGCAGUCAGGGGGAUGGCAUCACGGAUUGGAGAGGUCGAGGAAGUCUAG